AAAACCCCAUCGACCUCACGACCUCUUCAUUUCCCGUUUCCCUUUCCGACCGCCUCCGUCACCUGCAGAUCCCCGCUGUCUCCGGCGAGCCCUCGCGCCGCCGACCACCGCCCUAGCACCAUCUCCUACUCCUCUCUCGCCGACCGUCGCCUAGCAUCUCCGAAUCGCUGCGCCCCACCAGAAACCCUAUCCGCAUUGGAUCCACAUUGUCCCCUGCGGCGCUGCCCGCCGGCAUGUCUCCCCCGGCGCCGCCUCGUCGCCCACACCACGGGCCCUUACUCCCCUUCUCCUCUUGGCGUGGGAGCUGCUCUACCGCAUCAGCUCGAGCGCUCCAUCUCUCCCCUGCAGCUACUCAACCCGCCACCGCCCCCCGUCUUCCCCACCGCAGCUCCUCCACUGCUGCUCCUCACCCACAAGAACCCGGGCGGCCGUCUCACUCACCGGCAGGAAAGGGGGAGGGGAGAUGAAGAGAAAAAAUUACCCUCCUUUUCUGCCAGAUUUAACCGGCGCGUGACUGGUUGCUUCCGUCGGCGCCACCGCAUGAAGGGCUGCAGCUCUACUUCGAGCAGGAAGGAGUGCUCAGCCGGGUGCUGCAGCGUUCGUGCCUGGGUCGUGGUCGUCCGAGGCCGUUCAGGGCUUGCAGUUUCCAGGUGUUCAUAUUUGGCUAGGGAUUUACCUCUCUGGUCGCAUGGUUGCUACUUCCCUGCCGCUAGGGUCUACGUGUCUGCUGAUGCGGCUUUGCGCUGGAUGCCGCGCCAGUGAAAGAGCAAGACCUUGUCUCGCAUGCCGGUGCCACCGGGUAAGGUUGCCUCCCGGACCACAAGGGAGCUCAUCAAGCUCGGGUUCCGAGUCUGUUUUGCCAUGUGGAGCAAGGAGAGGGCGUCUUUCUAUGUGGACCGGCUGAAGCUGGGCGAACAAGCAGCGCCGCUGGUCCAAGGUAGGGUAAAACUGUUGCCUAGAAUGUGAACAAGGUGGCAUGCUGUUUCUGAAUGAUAGAGAUCAGCACCUGCAGCCAGAAGAGGCCGACCUGUGUGCCAAGAGGAGUGUGCUGAAGCUAGCGAGCGAACUUAGGUGUGGUUGCGCUUUCCGGCCUCGUGUGGCUCCGUGGCUGACUGGACAUGCGAUUCUAGUCUGCAGGCUCCGCCGUAAAGAUGUUUUUGUAGUAAUACUCAUGAUGUUUGGUGUCUCCACAUAUUCUUUAUGUAAUCGUAAGCUUGCAUUUGUUUCUAGUUGAAGGUGGUGUGGUGUUGUUGAAUGGUAUGCAUAUUAGUAAACUGUCUGUAGAGCUAUCCCUUCAUAGAUCGCUGUGUGAUGUAAAUGUUGGGAAAAGUAGCACCUUUUCUGCUGUCAAAAAAUAAGUGUUCUUGAUA
Long non-coding RNA from Lolium perenne, 1370 nucleotides. RefSeq lists it as uncharacterized. The record is from RefSeq and is a predicted model, not a curated record. NCBI's taxonomy places the organism in Eukaryota, Viridiplantae, Streptophyta, Magnoliopsida, Poales, Poaceae.